GUGGGCUGGCUGGGGGUGUACGGGGCAGGUGGCUGCCGGCAGGGUUUGGUGGGGCUUCUUUAAAAAAUUCUUUUGCAAGUUUUUUCAACAGUGGGCUGGAGGUUGGAUGCAUAGUUUAGUGCCGAGUGUGGGCUUGGGUGUGGUAUGCAGAGGCGAGUGGUGGGGGGAGGCCAUGUGGUGAGGCCAGAUAACAAGCUGGGGUGAUGACCUAGUUACCAGGCGCGGAGAAGGACGGAUGUGUCCGUUUGACUCCCGGUGAGGCAACUGGCCUUACAGUUAGGAGCUGAAAGUAGUGUCAUAGAGCCCAGUGUCCAUGGAGCCAUGGACACUACUAAGGAGGGAGGAGCUGAGAGACCCCUGGCUUAAGAGACAUUAUUCUGGCCCCCAGGUGCACAUCCAACGUUGAUCCUUGAAGGCUGCCUACUGCAAACGCCUUCCUGUGUUCUCUGCCUGAGGGUUUUCUCUGACUUGCUCCUUCACAGACGAAAGCUACUUGGCAGUGUGCUUGCUGCCUGUUUCUUACUGCCUUUGGAGGGAUUACCUGGGGCAGCUUUGCAGAUGAGGGCACAUCAGUGCCUCAAGAUCCUUCAAGCACAUGGGCUGUGACUUCGUGCUUCUGUUGUCUUCUCUGGUAAGCAAAGGUACUUUGCUGUGAAGAG
This 659-nucleotide long non-coding RNA is filed under the name Callithrix jacchus (white-tufted-ear marmoset). RNAcentral describes it as "lncRNA (ENSCJAG00000078754.1)". Lineage: Eukaryota; Metazoa; Chordata; Mammalia; Primates; Cebidae. The record is from RNAcentral.